CCCUUAGUAACGGCGAGCGAAAAGGGAAGAGUCCAGCGCCAAGUCUUGACGCCAAAGCGUUCAAGAGAUGCGGCGUUAAUGUAUUAUCGCAUCGUACAUUGUUACCUGUUUCAAGUUCCCUUGACAGGGACAUCCAUAGCGGGUGCUAGGCCCAUAGAGGCAGGAAACCAGUGUGCGCAGAUAAUGCAUUCUAGAGUCAGGUUGCUUGAGAGUGCAGCUUAAAGUGGGUGGUAAACUCCAUCUAAGGCUAAAUAUGACAGCGAGACCGAUAGCAAACAAGUACCGUGAGGGAAAGUUGCAAAGCACUUUGAAGAGAGAGUUCAACAGUACGUGAAACCACUGGGAGGCAAACAGAUGGAACCACGAAGUUGCGCCUCGCUCGAUUCAAUCAUUGAUACUGGUUACCGGUUCUUGUGUGGAUCUUUUCGGAGAUUAGCAAGUGUCGUGGAACUUGUUUCAAUGGUGCAUUUCGUGUGAGGAUGCUAAGCCACGUUCGAUUAGAGUUGGGACGGCCGUAGGACAGAAUUCGAGGAAGGUGACCGGAAAGUGCUUGCAUUUUUCGGUGUUAUAGCCUUGAAUUGGUACCGUCGCCUAACAAACUGAUCGAUAGAAAUUCUCCUUAGGAGUUAAACUGUGUCUGCCUGUAACCAUUAGUCAACAUUUCGAAGUGUUCUUUACGUAUCUUUGGUGCGGAAAGGCAUUUCAACAAUGUUGGUUAGUGGUUGCUUGCGUGACAUGGUGGAACUGUGGCGCGAGUAGGUCGGUUUCCCUCUGACCC
This 778-nucleotide ribosomal RNA is filed under the name Analges aff. passerinus A MD-2020. RNAcentral describes it as "partial large subunit ribosomal RNA". It matches the Rfam family "Eukaryotic large subunit ribosomal RNA", at positions 77 to 650 of the family's 3401-position model. Lineage: Eukaryota; Metazoa; Arthropoda; Arachnida; Sarcoptiformes; Analgidae. The record is from RNAcentral.